AGUGAACGCUGGCGGUAGGCCUAACACAUGCAAGUCGAACGGCAGCACAGUAAGAGCUUGCUCUUACGGGUGGCGAGUGGCGGACGGGUGAGGAAUACAUCGGAAUCUACUUUUUCGUGGGGGAUAACGUAGGGAAACUUACGCUAAUACCGCAUACGACCUACGGGUGAAAGCAGGGGAUCUUCGGAACUUGCGCGAUUGAAUGAGCCGAUGUCGGAUUAGCUAGUUGGCGGGGUAAAGGCCCACCACGGCGACGAUCCGUAGCUGGUCUGAGAGGAUGAUCAGCCACACUGGAACUGAGACACGGUCCAGACUCCUACGGGAGGCAGCAGUGGGGAAUAUUGGACAAUGGGCGCAAGCCUGAUCCAGCCAUACCGCGUGGGUGAAGAAGGCCUUCGGGUUGUAAAGCCCUUUUGUUGGGAAAGAAAAGCAGCAGGUUAAUACCCCGCUGUUCUGACGGUACCCAAAGAAUAAGCACGGGCUAACUUCGUG
Molecule: ribosomal RNA, 492 nt
Filed under: uncultured bacterium
Lineage: Bacteria
Description: partial 16S ribosomal RNA
Rfam family: Bacterial small subunit ribosomal RNA
Source: RNAcentral